UGGUUAGGCGCAGGCGGCCGUCGACCCCAGGAUUCCCGAAUGGGACUUCCUGCCCGUAUGGGCACUCCCGCGCAAGUGGGAGGGGGAACUCCCCGAACGGAAGCAUCUUAGUAGGGGAAGGAAGAGAAAUCAAGCGAGAUUCCCUGAGUAGGGGCGACCGAAAGGGGAAGAGCCCAGACCGAACCCGGCUGCGAUAAGUAGUCUGGGGAUGUGGGGUAGUGGCGCGCUGUCGGGGGAAACCUGGACGUCCUAACUCUCCUAGUCGAACUCCCCUGGGAUGGGGGGCCGAAGAGGGUGAAAGCCCCGUAGACGAAAGGAGAGUGGGCGUGACAGCGUACCGAGUACCAUCCUCUGGUUUGAGGGUGGGAAUCUAGGGGACACGUGCCUCUAAGGCUAAAUAUCUCCCGAGACCGAUAGCGAACUAAGUACCGUGAGGGAAAGCUGAAAAGUAGCCCGGGAGGGCGGUGAAAAGUGCCUGAAACCGUCUGGCGAUACAGGGCGAGGCUCGAAAGAGGUGAGGGCUCCGUAAGGAGGAGGGCGCGAGCCCUUAGUACGUGGGGGCCUGAUCAGGGUUUCGCCUUUCGUCUUGAAUCACGGGCCGGGGAGUUCACGUCAGUGGCGAGCUUAAGGGGUUCAACCCCGAAGGCGAAGGGAAACCGAAUGCCCGCAACUCGGCGACGAGUGAGGGGCAGGGUCUGUCAGGGCCUCAAGUCACUGGCGUGAGGCUAGAAACCGGGCGAUCUAGACCGGGGCAGGCCGAAACCAGGGGAAACCCUGGUGGAGGGCCGAAUAGGGGUUCUGACGUGCAAUUCGUUCCCCUGACCCUGGCCUAGGGGCAAAAGACCAAUCUAGCCCGGUGAUAGCUAGUUCCCUCCGAAAUGCGUCUUAGCGCAGCCUCCCCUGAGGUUACUCGUGGGGUAGAGUUACUUAUUGGGGCUUCGGAUCGAAAGGUCCGGACUCCCAGUAAAACUCCGAACCUGCGAGCGCCGUAGAAGGGGGGAGUGGGUCACUCGGCGUAAGGUUGGGUGGCAAGAGGGGAACAACCCAGACUUGGGUUAAGGCCCCAAAGUGCCGGCUAAGUGCGUACAAGGGCGUCCGUAGCCACAGACAGCGGGAAGGUGGGCCCAGCAGCAGCCAUCCUCUAAGGAGUGCGUAAUAGCUCACCCGCCGAGGCUACGGGCCCUGCAGACUGGUCGGGGCUCAAGCCGGCCGCCGAUACCCAAGGGUGGAGCUCCUUUGGAGCCCCAUCGGUAGGAGGGCGCUACGGCGGAGCAGAAGGUGGGCCGUGAGGUCCACUGGAUCCGUCGCAGGUGCAGAUCCCGGCGGCAGUAACAGCGAAAGGGGGUGAGAAUCCCCCUCGCCGGAAGGGCCAGGUUUUCCCGGCAACGGUCGUCGACCGGGAGUGAGCCGGUCCUAAGGCAACGCCCAAUUGGCAGUUGCCGAAAGGGAAAGGGGUUAAUAUUCCCCUGCCACGGAGGUAGGUGCGGCAACGCAAGCUGUGCUCCUGACGGAUGGGGGUAGGGAAACCGAGGUAACCGCCUCGGCCAAGUACUGAAGCCCCUGGAGUACCGUAAUGGUGAGAAGGGGGCGAAGGUGCGAUGGGCCUCCCGUAUGGGGGGUUCUCCCGAACCCCGGUCCCCAUGAAAAGGGAGUGCAGAUCGAUCCUCCGUGCCCGUACCAAGAACCGACACUGGUGCCCCUGGGUGAGAAGCCCAAGGCGUAUGGGGGCUAACCCUGGCUAGGGAACUCGGCAAAUUAGCCCCGUAACUUAGGGAUAAGGGGUGCCUACCGCGGCGCGAAACGUCGCAGUAGGUCGCAGUGACAAGGGGGACCUGACUGUUUAAUAAAAACAUAGGUUCCCGCUAGCCCGUAAGGGUGUGUACGGGAGCUGAAUCCUGGCCACUGGCGGUAAGUGAAAUCCGGGUCCAACCGGACGAAGCUCCGCUAAAGGCCGGGGGUAACUCUGACCCUCUCAAGGUAGCCAAAUGCCUUGCCGGGCAAGUUCCGGCGCGCAUGAAUGGAUCAACGCGGUCCCCACUGUCCCAGCCAGGGGCCCCGUGAACGCCCAGAGUGGGUGCACAGUCCCGCAACCCCCCACACCGAGAGAAGACCCCGUGGAGCUUAACUGCAGCCUGGCGCUGUCGUUCGGUCGCCUGUGCGUAGAGUAGGUAGGAGGCGUCGAAGCCGUCCUUUCGGGGACGGUGGAGCCGAAAGUGAAACACUACCCACGGGUGUUCGAGCGACUUACCUCGCAGAGGGACAACGUCAGGUGGGCAGUUCGGCUGGGGCGGCACUCCCGCGAAAAGAUAACACGGGAGCCCAAAGGUCGGCUCAGGCGGUACAGAACGCCGCCGUGGAGUGCAAGGGCAAAAGCCGGCUUGACGAGACCCUUCAAAGUACGGGGUCUCGGCGCGAAAGCGCGGCCUAGCGAACGCUCAUGCCCCCACACGUGGGGGCUGGGCAUGUCAGAAAAGUUACCCCGGGGAUAACAAGGUCGUCGCGGGCGAGAGCUCCCAUCGACCCCGCGGUUUGCUAUAUCGAUGUCGGCUCUUCCCACCCUGGGGGUGCAGUAGCCCCCAAGGGUAGGGCUGCCCGCCCGUUAAUGGGGAACGUGAGCUGGGUUUAGACCGUCGCGAGACAGGUCGGACUCUAAGGGUGGGGGGUGCCUACCACCUGAGGGGAAGGUACUCCUAGUACGAGAGGAACAGAGUACCGGGGCCUCUAGUCUACCGGUUGUCCGGUAGGGCAAAGCCGGGCAGCCACGCCCUGAGGGUUAACCGCUGAAA
Molecule: ribosomal RNA, 2786 nt
Filed under: Sulfodiicoccus acidiphilus
Lineage: Archaea; Thermoproteati; Thermoproteota; Thermoprotei; Sulfolobales; Sulfolobaceae
Description: bacterial LSU rRNA
Rfam family: Archaeal large subunit ribosomal RNA
Source: RNAcentral